This 426-nucleotide ribosomal RNA is filed under the name uncultured bacterium. Its description in RNAcentral is "bacterial SSU rRNA". It matches the Rfam family "Bacterial small subunit ribosomal RNA", at positions 918 to 1344 of the family's 1533-position model. The record is from RNAcentral.
GGCCCGCACAAGCGGUGGAGUAUGUGGUUUAAUUCGAAGCAACGCGCAGAACCUUACCAACCCUUGACAUCCUCGGACCGCCAGAGAGAUCUGGCUUUCACUUCGGUGACCGAGUGACAGGUGCUGCAUGGCUGUCGUCAGCUCGUGUCGUGAGAUGUUCGGUUAAGUCCGGCAACGAGCGCAACCCACAUCCUUAGUUGCCAGCAGUUCGGCUGGGCACUCUAGCGAGACUCCCGGUGUUAAACCGGCGGAAGAUGGGGAUGACGUCAAGUCCUCAUGGCCCUUAUGGCUGGGGCUACACACGUACUACAAUGGUGACUACAGAGGGCAGCGAGACCGCAAGGUGGAGCCAAUCCCAAAAAGGUCGCCUCAGUUCGGAUUGGAGUCUGCAACUCGACUCCAUGAAGUUGGAAUCGCUAGUAAUCG